Pseudopipra pipra is the source of this 3866-nucleotide long non-coding RNA. RefSeq lists it as uncharacterized. The transcript is spliced from 3 exons. The record is from RefSeq and is a predicted model, not a curated record. Lineage: Eukaryota; Metazoa; Chordata; Aves; Passeriformes; Pipridae.
ACAGCCAAGGGUCAUCAAUCAGCCCAUCCUCUCUUCUACUCACCAGGGGCAGCAGCCCAACUUGCUCCUAUCUGCUUUUUAUGAGCAGUGCUGUCUGCUGAAUAGCACACAGAGAAGAAACUAAUAAUCAUACAAAUAUCAGGGAGAGCGGUCAAUCAUCACCUGAAAUGUUCAGUACACCUGAGGGAAAUUCGGGUGCUGCUGCCUGAAGAGUCUGCAAGUUUAGCAUGUAGAAGAGACAACAUUACUGCCUUAGAGGUGACCUGGCAUAUGGGCAACAUGCAACACGCAACACAAGUUGGUAAUUCAGACAUUUUUAAAAUGAGACUGAAAAAGGAAUUAUUUGUUUGCUCUCUUCAUUCUCUAGCUACAAGUGAAGGAGGCUGAAAAGGAGAAGCCUAUGCAAAUUGGAAUACACACAAUCUUCUGACAAUCACUGAGUCUGCAUCUUUCCUCUGUGAAAUCAGUAACAGCCGGUUCAUUUCACAUAUAAGGACUGCGGCGGAUGCCAAGCCCUUGCCUGCACCAGCUGAGCAGGCUGCACUGGGAAUAUCCUCCAAGAUGCUACUUGCACAAGCCCUGUCAGCUGCUUCUGCUCUACCUACAAGUAAAAGACACAAUCCUCCACUACACCAGAGAUCAGGAAGACACAGCUGUAUGUGGUUAGACAGGAUUUAAGGUCUACAAAUAUAUGUUAGAUAAGUUUGUAUUUUGGGGAUUUUUUUUUUCUCUCUGCUGCCACAAAAGGUUAUUGCUGACAGCUGUAUAUGAGAAAUUAUACUGUUUGUAAGGACACCAUGUGAAAUUGCAUUACAGCCAUGAUGGCAAUAAAAGCAACUGUUUUUUUUUGAUGGAACCUAUUAUGCAGGGAUUCAAGUCAUGUCAAAAAAUACUGGCAGUCUUAGAUUUUCCUAUUGCUGGAACUGGUAGAAAUCUAGCCAAACUAAAGAAACCAACGUGACAAGUGAUCCUGAAGGUCUGUUCUGAGAGGAAGAGUUGCAUGUUCCUCGUAAUGCCUAUUCAUGCACCUCAAACCUUUAGUUCAGUUUCUAUGGUAGGUGAAAAAAUGGGAUAUGUGAUUAGUGCUGCCUUCCUUAAUUUUUAUUGUCAGAUCCUCAUGUGACAGAAUAGAUAACACUCCCUAUGUCUCAGUUGGGAAUGUCUUAUUCUUGGGAGAACUUCCCUUAGAAAGAGAAGUGUGUAUUGUGGCUUGGAUAGAUUCUACCUGGGUGAGCAGUUUUGUUUCCUGCUCACAAACCGUUCUCUGUGCUCUUGAGUAAGUCACUUAUCACCAGGUGGUUCACUUUAUCAAGCUCUCAGUUUGGACAAACAGGGCACCUACUUGACUUCACCUCAAGGCACUACUGUAGUAAAUAUUAAUAGCAAUUAAUAGUACUUGAACACGCAAGGCUAACUGUGGCCUAUCUCUGGCUGUUAGGAACACAAGCGUUGCAAAUUUGCCCACAGAAACUAUAGUAGUGUAAAACUGUCCUAAUCACCACACACAUUUUAUCGAAGACACAGUUAUGAAGCAGCAACCCCAUCACUAUUCCAGACUUGUAACUGUUGUCCUAGCUUUGCAAGCUGAUUUAUCUUCAUGCACUUUGUUCUGUAUGUUUAAAAAAUGGCAAACACUGGUAUAAAAGCUAAUGGGAAUGUCUCUGUCAACAUACUGGUUUAUAUCUAACAAAAACCUCUGAAUUCAGGACAAAUAUAAAGUAAAAAUUUUUAAGGGGGAUAUUAAUAAUUUGUACAUGUAAGUAAAGGCUAAAGACAUUUGCCUUUUAUUGGUGUCAGUAAUCAGUAUUCACUAUAUGCAGAGGGCAAAACCCUUAUAAGCCUUUAUCUGAUUAUUAGUGCAUCGAGAUAGGAUAUGGGCAUCUUAUUCAAAGGAGUAUAUAAAAUUGUUGAUACUGUCUGCCCUUUUCUCCCUAUAAACAUUUGUCAAUUCACUCCCCGUCUGGUGCUCUGUGUAUACACAUGCCCAGGCUAAUGUUAGCUGAGGUUGCAAUAUAGCUAUGUUAAAUAAUUUUAUCUGAUUUGUUGGAUGAUGGUAUUUCUAAUGGAAAACAACAUGGUAAUUUCAGAAUGUUACUGAUUAGAUGAAAAUGAUAUUGCAUCAAAGUUACUUCCUUAAUUUAUUCUGAAAAAAACAAGAAGGAUUUCUCUAUUAAGAUGCUUAAUUAAAAUCUAUCUCUCUCCACACAAAAUCUUUACUUUGGGUCCUGCAUGUGAUGUCUGAAAAGAACAAAGGCUGAUUAGCAUCUUUUACACUCUGCUUUUCUUUUUGUCACUUAGACAUUCAUUGCAGCAAUUCCAGCCAGGUUUGGAAGGACUGAGAGAAAGGGUGAACCUGGCACCUUUCACAAGAAGGAAGGACCUCUUCAACUAGCACAGCCUGGUCUUUCCCCUAUUCUCUAAGUUCAGAACUCUUAGGGUUUUAAUUCUCUUAGUACUGAAUCUAUAAAAAUGUUAUUUCUAUUAGCUCUUUUAUUGUUACCCACAUAGUCAUAUGCUGAAAUCACACCCACGCUUAACAUACAAAACCGGAGAGCAUCUACUGAGGAAUGCAAAGGAUAUUUAGCAAAAACUUUGUCAUCUUGUGCUGGUACAAACAACUUUUUGGUUGUUUUAUUUUUUGACAGUAAAACCAUUAGAAAUGACGCUAUGACUAGAAAUCUAGAGAGCAUUUCAUGUUCAAGGAUUCUGAAUUUUAGUACUCCUCCUAUUGCCUCUUUUAUGUAAACUAUUAACUGUAAUUCAAGCCCAAAAUAUUAAAAGCAGUAUAAAGAUUUAAGGAUUCUUUCAUACCAAUUAGAAAUAAUUUCUAGCUGUACUUCAAUGAAUAGGCUUUUUACCUUUUGUUACAGUGGGAAAUCACUUUUCCCCUGUAGCACAGGACAUCUGCAUAGAUUUGUUUCCCAUUAUCUUUAAUGGCAUCAGCAAAUACAGAGUUCAUACAUUUCUGUUAAAUAUAUCUGCAGUUGUUGGAAUACCAGCUUCUAAGAGAAUUACAAGUUUAACAAUUCAGUUAACCCAAACUUACAAUUUGAUUAACAGACCAGUAGAAUAUUAAAAAAUGAUGUCACCUUAUCAUUCACACUGCACUUGAAAGCAUAAAGGAAAAUCCUCUGACUUGGUUCACAAGCAACCUAGAAAUAUCAUGACUGCAAUCUCUAAUGUGCUGCAAAACACUAACAUCUGAAAGGUCAAUCUGUGCUUUCAAGAAAGUUUGUUUGUAGUGUUUUUAAGCUCUAUUUUCACUCCCUUCCUGAAUGUGUAACUGAUUGUGCAUACACAGAAAAUACAACUCUGCACUGAUAAAAAAGGCUUAAUUAUUUAUUUUCAAACUUUUAAUUGCCUGUGGAAGACUAAUGAAGAGCAAUAUCAAAUACUGACCAUGACAUUAUUUCAUUGCAGGUCACUGUCAAACAUGAAGGUUAACCUAAAAUGGAGAAUUACAUGAUAUUUUCCCCCUGCUGUUAUUUCUCUACACUUUCUCCCUGAACUGUGUAGUCAAGUCAGACUGUGUGGGCUGUGACCUCUUAGUUCUCUGCAGGCCACAAGAUCAUGACAUUAUGAAAAUUGUUUCUCUUUUUUCCUCCACUGUGAAUCAUAUUCUUGGAUUAGCUAAAAAGACAUUUUAAAAAGAGUUAUCACCAGUUUUGGAAAAAACAAUUCAAUUAUCAGAUCAGGACAGAACAGGUAAUUUGUCUAUCACUAGCUUGCCUGUAUAUAUUGGAGUUCUGCAAUGACCAAAAUGAUGUAUUCUGGAUUAGUGCGUCUCCUCCUCCUCAUCCUCAUCCUCUCUCUUCUUUCUAAAUACCAGUGGCAAUCUCAAAAAAUAAAUAAAUCUCAAGAGCUAC